UUUUUAUUAAGUACAAAAAAUACGGUAGAUACCUUUCCAAAAUAAUGGAAUUAACGAGUUGGAAUGAACUAUCCAAUAUCUUAGACGAGAAUCAUAAGUUAAGAAUGAUUAUUUAUCUGGAACAAAAACUGCUUCCAGAACAAGAAUUUGGAAUGCAUAGCGAAUUUUUUAGCUCAGUUCUGAUUUAUGAAUGGGGGUUGCGUGUUUUCAUGAAAAUACAUAAUUUUUCAAACCGACAAGAUGCUCUAGAACACAUCAGGUUGCAGGAAGAUAUGGUCAUUUACGAACGUGACUAAGUGUAAGUCCAAUGUAUCGGGCCACGGUCCAUUUGCCUUAUCCUCAGAGGCGUAGGAGAUGUUUCCCGCGGCUCUGCACAUGACUAAUAAUAUGGAAAUAUUUAAAUCAAUUUCAUCAGUAUUCGUCUUCAUCGCUGCGGCUUCUAGUACGAUCUAGCUCCGAUGUUUUGUAUAUUGCCUCCAGUGGUCUUAUUAUUAAUAUUAUUACCAAUAAAAAAAUACAAAAUUGAUGCGAUGAACAAAAUGUAUUGGGUCUAUUUCACACCAUACCGAAAUGAUCAAAUAUGACCGAUCUUGAACAUGGCAUAUCUGUAUACAAAAGCAGCAUUUUUGAUUUGUUGUUUAGAAUAGUAUGUUAAUAAUCGAAAGGGGUGAAAUGUAUUUAUAUCAGCUUUUGUUUUCUAACUCUUAGUUAUUCGCAAUCUCUUUCCAAAGACUCAUAUAAAUAUC
This is a long non-coding RNA of Malaya genurostris, 746 nucleotides long. RefSeq lists it as uncharacterized. The transcript has 3 exons. The record is from RefSeq and is a predicted model, not a curated record. Lineage: Eukaryota; Metazoa; Arthropoda; Insecta; Diptera; Culicidae.